This 711-nucleotide long non-coding RNA is filed under the name Canis lupus familiaris (dog). RNAcentral's name for it is "lncRNA (ENSCAFG00040000851.1)". Lineage: Eukaryota; Metazoa; Chordata; Mammalia; Carnivora; Canidae. The record is from RNAcentral.
CCGCGGGGCGGAGAAGCCGGAACCUCAGGGUCACCAGGUGCGCCCGGUUCCCCCUCCUCCCCCUCACUGAGGGGAUCUCCGCUCCCCAGACCCCGGGCCGGGGGCAACGGCGACCCACAGCCGCUCCGACGCCCAAAGUCGCAUCCCACCCGGCAGCCCCUUAACGACAGCCGACAGCGCCGUCGCCACCAGCCUCGCUGCUCCGGCUGGCGCUUCAGCCUAGCGGGCCCCAGCCGUCUUCGCCAUGGAGAGUUCCCCGUCCCGAAGUGGGCAGGCGGUGGGAGAGAAAGAGCAGCAGGGUGGAGACUCCGCCGGCAGCAGGGGAGGGAGAAGAGGAAAGGCGAAAGCGAAGGGCGGGUGCGGAGCUGUGCCAGCUGCUGCCGCCUCUUGGGCCACGGGGCCCGACCCGCUCCGCUCAGAGGCGCCGUAGGCGGUCUAGCCCCGCAUCCCCGGCUCUCCUCGGCGCGGCCCGACGCCCGGAUCCGACCCUGCCAAGAGCUGCUCCCCGCGGGACAGCCUCACUCUCCCAUUUUGUACCGUCGCUGCUGGGGCUGCUGCCGCGCUGUCCGGCGGGGCAGGGCGAGGUCGGCGCCCGAUGGAGACUUAGGAGAGGAAAGGCUGUCACUUAAGUGCUGGAGGUCCACCAUGUGCCACAGAGGAUAUGAGGCAACAAAGCACAUUCUUUUGAAGCCACCCCAAGAUCUAUUCUGA